UUGAACUGUGACACGAGGAUUUUCAGUCCUCUGCUCUACCAGCUGAG
This 47-nucleotide transfer RNA is filed under the name Barleria strigosa. RNAcentral's name for it is "partial tRNA-Phe". Lineage: Eukaryota; Viridiplantae; Streptophyta; Magnoliopsida; Lamiales; Acanthaceae. The record is from RNAcentral.